UACGUGGGGGGCAAGCGUUGUCCGGAAUUAUUGGGCGUAAAGAGCGUGUAGGCGGUCCGGUAAGUCAGCUGUGAAAGUCAAGGGCUCAACCCUUGAAUGCCGGUUGAUACUGUCGGGCUAGAGUCCGGAAGAGGCGAGUGGAAUUCCCGGUGUAGCGGUGAAAUGCGUAGAUAUCGGAAGGAACAUCAGUGGCGAAAGCGACUUCCUGGACCAAUACUGACGCUCAUGUGCGAAAGCGUGGGGAGCAAACAGG
Molecule: ribosomal RNA, 253 nt
Filed under: uncultured bacterium
Lineage: Bacteria
Description: partial 16S ribosomal RNA
Rfam family: Bacterial small subunit ribosomal RNA
Source: RNAcentral